Ahaetulla prasina is the source of this 1770-nucleotide long non-coding RNA. RefSeq lists it as uncharacterized. Lineage: Eukaryota; Metazoa; Chordata; Lepidosauria; Squamata; Colubridae. The transcript is spliced from 3 exons. The record is from RefSeq and is a predicted model, not a curated record.
AAUGGGCACAGUAGGACAAAGAUGGUAGGCACGCUGGUGUGCUUAUGCAUGCCCCCUACAGACCACUUAGGAAUGGGGUGAGGUCCACAGUAGUCAGUUUAAGGUUAAAGUUUUGGGGGUUUGAGGAUGUAACAACAAAGUCAGGUAGUGCAUUCCAGUCCGUUAAGCUUGUACUUACUGUUUGGGUUCUUUUUUCCUAUAUGUAAUACUGAGCAUUUGCUGGUUGAGAUUUGGAGUUGCCAAGUUUUAGACCAUUCAGAUACAAAGUCAAGGUGUUUUUGAAGGGUUGUUGUAUUGUUGGUGGUGUUAAAUAGUUUGAUGUCGUCAGCAAAAAGAACACAAUCACUUGUAAUAUGGUCACAGAGAUCAUUAAUGUAUAAUAUGAAGACUGUUGGUCCAAGAACGCUGCCUUGGGGAAUGCCACUUUUGACAGGAACAGGAUUUGCCAGCAUUGCCAAUUUUGACCACUUGUUGUCUGUUUUUACAGGAAAGCUGUUAUCCAAUUGUGGAGGGGUCCUGAAAUGCUGUAAGAUUUUAGUUUUAGGAGAAGUUUAUCAUAUAGAACAGAGUCAAAACCUUUACAGAAGUCUAUGUAGAUCACAUCUAUUGCUUUGCCCUGAUCAAGAAUUACAGGAAUGCAAUUUUCGUGGAGGAGUGGUGAGGAAGUGCUUUAUAUGACUGAGAAUAAUGUUGAAUAUUAUUUCAUACUCCCCCACCCACCCACCCCCAUGGAUCUAACUAUUUAAUACUUUCACCUGGAAAUCACCGUUUUUCAAGAGGGAAAAGGCUAAUUGAUGGGAUUUUACAAUGAAGGUGUCACUGUUGUGGAAUCUUUGCUCAAAAGAAAUGUAGCCAGGGUUUAAUUUUAUGCUUAGCAGUAGCUGAAAAUUGUGAUGACAAAUGUUAUUUUUCUAAGUUUAACUGCGUAAUUGGCUACUUCUGUUUUCACUUUUUUAAGAAGUUUUCCUUUAACCUGUACUUCACUGUACUGCAAGUUUAAUAAUUUGGAAAAAAAUUAUUAAAAGCAAAAUUAAACAUUUUAAAUGCAGACAUUCAUUACUGCUUAUAAUAAAAGGUGUGUUGGGUAUGUUUGCCAGCUUGAGUUAUUUCUAAAAUAAUAAAGGCGAGAUACAAAUAAAUAAUAAAUUCUAGCACGUGCUUAAAGUUUUUUAUGUGUUUGUUCAUUUUAUCAUUUAUUUAACAUUUAAACUUGGCAUCAAGACUUUUUCAACAUAUAACAGAUGCAUCUACAAUUGCUAGCCUGGAUGGGUGGAGUCAGUCCAUUGCCUGAAGCAAUCACUGUGAAGUUGCUUUCAGCAGUGGAGAUCAAUCAUGUAGAGAAGCUGGGCAGAAAUGAGGCUACAGCUGCAGCUGAUACCUGGUAGGCCUCAUAGCUGAAUAGUGGCUUCCUUUCUCUCCCCAUCCCCUGUAAAUCUGGCAUGUUCUAAUAAAUUACAGGUGAUUGUUUUUCUCUAUCAUGUUUAGCACUGUUUCCUAACCUUGACAAUUUUAAGAUAUGUGGACUUCAACUCCCAGAAAUCUCCAGCUGACAUAGGAGUCGAUGUCUAUAAAUAUUAAAAUAGCUAAGGUUAAGAAACACUGGUGUAUUGGAAGCCAUAUUUAAAUUAUAGUAUUGGGCAAAAUUAUCUUGGAUAAUUUUGGAUAAUUGGAUAAUAUAGCUAGUUGGAUAAUGGGUACAAGAUAAUAUAGAUUCUGACCUGUCUCCAAUCUUCCCUUUUUGGGGAAGGUUGUUGAGAAGGUGGUCACAUA